RNAcentral lists this ribosomal RNA (468 nucleotides) under uncultured bacterium. RNAcentral describes it as "partial 16S ribosomal RNA". It matches the Rfam family "Bacterial small subunit ribosomal RNA", at positions 28 to 507 of the family's 1533-position model. The record is from RNAcentral.
GACGAACGCUGGCGGCGUGCUUAACACAUGCAAGUCGAACGGAAAGGCCCUGCUUUUGUGGGGUGCUCGAGUGGCGAACGGGUGAGUAACACGUGAGUAACCUACCCUUGACUUUGGGAUAACUUCAGGAAACUGGGGCUAAUACCGGAUAGGAGCUCCUGCUGCAUGGUGGGGGUUGGAAAGUUUCGGCGGUUGGGGAUGGACUCGCGGCUUAUCAGCUUGUUGGUGGGGUAGUGGCUUACCAAGGCUUUGACGGGUAACCGGCCUGAGAGGGUGACCGGCCACAUUGGGACUGAGAUACGGCCCAGACUCCUACGGGAGGCAGCAGUGGGGAAUAUUGCACAAUGGGCGGAAGCCUGAUGCAGCAACGCCGCGUGCGGGAUGACGGCCUUCGGGUUGUAAACCGCUUUCGCCUGUGACGAAGCGUGAGUGACGGUAAUGGGUAAAGAAGCACCGGCUAACUACGUG